This 304-nucleotide ribosomal RNA is filed under the name uncultured bacterium. RNAcentral describes it as "partial 16S ribosomal RNA". It matches the Rfam family "Bacterial small subunit ribosomal RNA", at positions 509 to 808 of the family's 1533-position model. The record is from RNAcentral.
CAGCGUCGCCGCGGUAAUACAGAGGGUGCGAGCGUUAAUCGGAUUUACUGGGCGUAAAGCGUGCGUAGGCGGCUUUUUAAGUCGGAUGUGAAAUCCCUGAGCUUAACUUAGGAAUUGCAUUCGAUACUGGGAAGCUAGAGUAUGGGAGAGGAUGGUAGAAUUCCAGGUGUAGCGGUGAAAUGCGUAGAGAUCUGGAGGAAUACCGAUGGCGAAGGCAGCCAUCUGGCCUAAUACUGACGCUGAGGUACGAAAGCAUGGGGAGCAAACAGGAUUAGAUACCCGGGUAGUCCCUGUCUCUUAUACA